This 250-nucleotide ribosomal RNA is filed under the name uncultured bacterium. Its description in RNAcentral is "partial 16S ribosomal RNA". It matches the Rfam family "Bacterial small subunit ribosomal RNA", at positions 524 to 773 of the family's 1533-position model. The record is from RNAcentral.
UACGAAGGGGGCUAGCGUUGUUCGGAUUUACUGGGCGUAAAGCGCGCGUAGGCGGGUCGCUAAGUCAGGGGUGAAAUCCCGAGGCUUAACCUCGGAACUGCCUUUGAUACUGACGACCUGGAGAUCGGGAGAGGUUGGUGGAAUUCCGAGUGUAGAGGUGAAAUUCGUAGAUAUUCGGAGGAACACCAGAAGCGAAGGCGGCCAACUGGCCCGAUACUGACGCUGAGGCGCGAAAGCGUGGGGAGCAAAC